AUGUCGCCUGGAGCUAUGUGUUUACUCCUCACAGCUGCAGCUCUUGUAACCAGACUUUGUCGUGGUGAUUCUGUCUCACAAACAGCGGCUGCAAUUUCAGUGAAUGAGGGGGAUGAUGUCCAGUUAUUCUGUAAUUACUCUACAAUCAGCAACAAUCCUGACCUGUUCUGGUAUCGUCAGCAUACCAGCGGCUCCAUGUAUUUUGUGCUCCUCAAAAACCAAUAUAGCGAGACACCAGCGAGUUUUCUCCAGGACCGGCUUUCCUCGGAUUUUGAUCACGUGAACUGCACUAUCCAGCUGAGAGUGUUGAAAACAGAACUGUCAGACUCCGCUGUGUAUUACUGUGCACUGAGCCCCACAGAGACUUAG
This is a non-coding RNA of Rhincodon typus (whale shark), 369 nucleotides long. Lineage: Eukaryota; Metazoa; Chordata; Chondrichthyes; Orectolobiformes; Rhincodontidae. The record is from the annotation of a RefSeq genome assembly.